RNAcentral lists this long non-coding RNA (920 nucleotides) under Olea europaea (common olive). RNAcentral's name for it is "long non-coding RNA (OEUR_LNC006282)". The record is from RNAcentral. Lineage: Eukaryota; Viridiplantae; Streptophyta; Magnoliopsida; Lamiales; Oleaceae.
AUUCACACCGUAUUACAACAUAAUUUAUUCAAGGUAAUGGACGACACUCUGCACUUCAGCACUAUUACCAGAAGUUCAAAGAAGAUUGUACUAAGGCUGCAUUUUCAUUUUCACGGGUCCAAGCAUCCCAUACACUGCAGCCAAGGAUCAUCCAAUUUGCACUCUCCAUGGCAUCGUUCGAAACCAAGCAGUCCCUUGCAUCAACUUCCCUCAAAAUCCACAAAGUACAAGUGUAAUUUUUGGUCAUAUUGCAAAGAAAUGAAAUAAAGAUUUACACAAGCAAAUGAAUGUUUGAGCAGAAUGAACCUUUUAUAGGCAAACCCAUGCAUUUUUAAUCGUCAGAUCUCAAAGAUCUGGACCGUCCGAAUUCGGGUCACAUAUAGACCAUUUCGAUGAGACCAACCUUUCAGCUUUACGGCCCAAAUCAAAACACGUGGAAUACGUUGAAAAUUGAGGGCACCACCCUCCUUGGAAAGGCGAAAUGGCAGCAUGGAAGUAUUUGGUAAUAAAUGACGAAAGAUGUUCAAACUACCCGAACCAUCUCACAUAGCAUUUCUUCGGUUGACAUUCUAACCACUUCGACAACGGUACAAACCACCUUGAAAUUUUACACCUAACAACUCGGACAUUUAUAACUUUGGCUUUCCAUAUACAUUAAGGAAAGGCCACUUAUAUGUACAAGGCACACGAGCCUCGACCUCGAUUCCGAUGGCUAUUGACGUACACGUUUGGCAAGGCUAAAACUCUCACACGAAUAUUUAAACACUUGGACUUGGGGGACUAAUGUUACCUCAUGGAUUCCUUUUUCUUCAAAAAAGUCAUAAACUCUAUGUACCAUAUAAAUGAUCAUACAUAGACUUGUAAGACUAUUGUUACUAGUCAUAAAGAAUGGCCACGUGGACCCCCCGUAUUUACACGUG